Vulpes vulpes (red fox) is the source of this 106-nucleotide small nuclear RNA. The record is from Ensembl. NCBI's taxonomy places the organism in Eukaryota, Metazoa, Chordata, Mammalia, Carnivora, Canidae.
GUGCUUGCUCAGCAGCACAUAUACUAAAAUUGGAACGUUACAGAGAAGAUUAGCACAGCCCGUGUGCAAAGAUGACACUCAAAUUAGGGAAGUGUUCCAUUAAAAA